RNAcentral lists this long non-coding RNA (1134 nucleotides) under Carassius auratus (goldfish). Its description in RNAcentral is "lncRNA (ENSCARG00000056717.1)". Lineage: Eukaryota; Metazoa; Chordata; Actinopteri; Cypriniformes; Cyprinidae. The record is from RNAcentral.
GAUGGAUCAUGAUCGAGUCAUGGGAAACAGUCGUUACCGUUAUGAGGAGGAGGAGGAGGAUCAUCAGUCUGUCUACAUUGGUGUGCCAGUGCCCCAAGGCUACCGUCGCAAGCGCAGGAGGAGACGUUCGUCCAUGUUGAGUCGUGAUGCAGAUGUAGAACGAAGACUUAGACAUGAUCAUCAGAGACACGAACGCUAUGACUGUGAUGACAGAGACCGCUACGAUCUCGAAGCAGAAGGCCUGGAUCAGCCAGAACACAAUCUGCCACCAGAAAUCAACAGAACCAGUGAGUCCUUAAUCAGUUCCCAAAAGAGCUUAAAGUCAUUCAUGUUAGUGAUUUGUAAAGUGUGUAUCAUCAUUGUAUGAUUAUGUCUUGUGACUUAGGAUAUAAAUGUAAAACUUUACUAGCACAGAACUUUCCACACACUUCUAUAUAGUCAACAGACUAGUGAUAACAAAGGCAAUAGACUCAAGGUAAUGUGUCUGAAAGUGAGAAUGCAAAUUCAAGGGGACCAUAGGGAGCAAAACUGCCAUACAUUUCUUUGUUUGUGUGUGUGAAAUAGAGUUGCGCUCGGUUUAUCAGAUACACCCCGCACCCUCACUCUCAAUAUCGUGAUGUGCCGAGGGCAGGAUAGAGCCGUCAAUGCAGAAAAGAAGACCAUGAAAAACAAUUAUGGUGAUGCGUCUCUGAACGCUUGAGAAUAAACUACUUGCGAGGCAUCAAAGUUUGCAGUCAGCACUGAAUAGAGAAAUAAACACACGUUCAAAGAAAACAGUUUUCAUCUGUCACUUUUAUGCUAAAUGAUGGGCCAAAUUUGUGUCAAAACAAAAUCGCAUGCUAAAUAAGACUAUUAAUGAGUUCUGAUUACAUUCAGAAUAGAGCGGAUCAGUAAUCCCAGUGAAGAUUUAGAAAUAGCCAUGGAUUUUCUAGGGAAUUUCAAAUGGGUUUUUAGAGAGGUGGGAUUUGAUUUAUGAAGAAAACUUUUUUUUUUUUAGGAUAUACAAUUACACCUCAAACAUGAAUUUUGAAGUGGCUGUGUUUUUUAGAUGCUAACAUGUGUUAUUUUUUAUAUUAUAUUUAUAUACUAUUAUAGUAGUUAAUUAGUGAAUUAGCUUUCAUUUGUAUAUUUCCA